RNAcentral lists this unclassified non-coding RNA (204 nucleotides) under rhizosphere metagenome. RNAcentral describes it as "partial ribosomal RNA internal transcribed spacer region". The record is from RNAcentral.
GAGUUGGGGUCUUCUAGGCCCGAUCUCCAACCCUUUGUAUAACUACCAUGUUGCUUUGGCGGGCCCGUCUUUAACCGGACCGCCGGGGGUCUUUUGACCUCUGGCCAGUGCUCGUCAGUAGCCUACACAAAAACUCUUUUAACCAUGUUAAAUCUGAAACUAGUUAAAUAAACUAAAACUUUCAACAACGGAUCUCUUGGUUCU